This 971-nucleotide long non-coding RNA is filed under the name Drosophila guanche. Lineage: Eukaryota; Metazoa; Arthropoda; Insecta; Diptera; Drosophilidae. The record is from RNAcentral.
AAAAUAUAACCUUACCUUUGAUUGCUUCACACUAUAUACAAUAAAUUCAAAAAAAUGGUACGAGUACUUGUAUUUGUUUUUGCAAAGUUUAUGAUUAGAAAAUAAAUAUCAUUAUCUUUCCUUAACUAGGCAAAAUGAACUCAAAGAUUUAGAUAAAAUGAUUUUGUUUACUGAAAUUUCUUAUCUUCAGUUACUUGGCAGAGAUCAACCUCUCAGUGGCUUUCAGUUCUUUAGUCGAGUCGCAAUGGACGCACGGAAAUUUUCCACCCAUGUACUGGAUACCUCUGUUGGAAAGGCGGCCGCAAGUGUUAGGGUCACAGUUUCUGUUCUAGACGAGAUCCAAGAGUGGAGAUCCCUCCGAGCGCUCCAAACCAAUGCGGACGGUCGUUGUCAACUUUUGGAGGCCGGCGAGUUUCCCAGCGGAGUCUAUAAGCUAACAUUUAAUGUGGGAGCGUACUUCGCAGAGCGCAAUGUGAACACCUUGUACCCAGCUAUAGAUAUAAUGGUGGACUGUAGUGAAAAUAAGAAUUAUCAUAUUCCUCUGCUCCUUAACCCCUUUGGAUACUCCACAUACCGUGGCACAUAGAUCUAUAAAAAUACAUAAUCCAUUUUUGGAAUAAGCUCGAAGGAAAUAGAAAAAUGUAAUACAAUUUUUCGAAAGAGAAUGUAUUUUUAUUUUAAUCAGUCUAGAGUUUUGUAACGGAAAAUAUUUUGAAAUGUGCCUAGACACUACUAAUGAUCAGUACCCACCCGGUUUGUAUAAUCUUAUUUGCAGUUUUGUAUGCUGUAUGAUUAGUAUAAUUUCUGAAACUUAUUCUGAAGCCUUUUCUGAAACUGUGUGCGCUUUCUUUUCUGUUUAUGCUUAUCAGCUGGAUGGUCCAACACAUAUGUACAUAGAUAUUUGUUUGUAUUAUAUAAAUAUAAGUUAUCUUCCAUCAUAAAUAUUUAAUUCGCUUUGUGGAAAUUCAUUU